GACGAACGCUGGCGGCGUGCCUAAUACAUGCAAGUCGAACGCUUCUUUCCUCCCGAGUGCUUGCACUCAAUUGGAAAGAGGAGUGGCGGACGGGUGAGUAACACGUGGGUAACCUACCCAUUAGAGGGGGAGAACACUUGGAAACAGGUGCUAAUACCGCAUAACAGUUUAUGCCGCAUGGCAUAAGAGUGAAAGGCGCUUUCGGGUGUCGCUGAUGGAGGGACCCGCGGUGCAUUAGCUAGUUGGUGAGGUAACGGCUCACCAAGGCCACGAUGCAUAGCCGAUCUGAGAGGGUGAUAGGACAAACUGGGCUGGAGAGAUGACCAAGAACACUGCGGGAGGCAGACGUAGGGAAUUUUCGGGGAUGGAAGAAAGUCUGAACGAGCAACGCCGCGUGAGUGCCGGAGGUAUUCGGGUCGUAAGACUCUGUUGUUAGAGAGGAACAAAGACGUUAGUAACUGGGCAUGACCUGAAGGUAUCUAACCAGAAAGCCACGGCUAACUACGUG
This 508-nucleotide ribosomal RNA is filed under the name uncultured bacterium. RNAcentral's name for it is "partial 16S ribosomal RNA". It matches the Rfam family "Bacterial small subunit ribosomal RNA", at positions 28 to 507 of the family's 1533-position model. The record is from RNAcentral.